GUGAGUAACACGUGGGUAACCUACCUAUAAGACUGGAAUAACUCCGGGAAACCGGGGCUAAUGCCGGAUAACAUGUUGAACCGCAUGGUUCUACAGUGAAAGACGGUCUUGCUGUCACUUAUAGAUGGACCCGCGCCGUAUUAGCUAGUUGGUGGGGUAACGGCCUACCAAGGCGACGAUACGUAGCCGACCUGAGAGGGUGAUCGGCCACACUGGAACUGAGACACGGUCCAGACUCCUACGGGAGGCAGCAGUAGGGAAUCUUCCGCAAUGGGCGAAAGCCUGACGGAGCAACGCCGCGUGAGUGAUGAAGGUCUUCGGAUCGUAAAGCUCUGUUGUUAGGGAAGAACAAAUGUGUAAGUAACUGUGCACAUCUUGACGGUACCUAACCAGAAAGCCACGGCUAACUACGUGCCAGCAGCCGCGGUAAUACGUAGGUGGCAAGCGUUAUCCGGAAUUAUUGGGCGUAAAGCGCGCGUAGGCGGUUUUUUAAGUCUGAUGUGAAAGCCCACGGCUCAACCGUGGAGGGUCAUUGGAAACUGGAAAACUUGAGUGCAGAAGAGGAAAGUGGAAUUCCAUGUGUAGCGGUGAAAUGCGCAGAGAUAUGGAGGAACACCAGUGGCGAAGGCGGCUUUCUGGUCUGCAACUGACGCUGAUGUGCGAAAGCGUGGGGAUCAAACAGGAUUAGAUACCCUGGUAGUCCACGCCGUAAACGAUGAGUGCUAAGUGUUAGGGGGUUUCCGCCCCUUAGUGCUGCAGCUAACGCAUUAAGCACUCCGCCUGGGGAGUACGGUCGCAAGACUGAAACUCAAAGGAAUUGACGGGGACCCGCACAAGCGGUGGAGCAUGUGGUUUAAUUCGAAGCAACGCGAAGAACCUUACCAAAUCUUGACAUCCUUUGACCGCUCUAGAGAUAGAGUUUUCCUCUUCGGAGGACAAAGUGACAGGUGGUGCAUGGUUGUCGUCAGCUCGUGUCGUGAGAUGUUGGGUUAAGUCCCGCAACGAGCGCAACCCUUGAACUUAGUUGCCAUCAUUCAGUUGGGCACUCUAAGUUGACUGCCGGUGACAAACCGGAGGAAGGUGGGGAUGACGUCAAAUCAUCAUGCCCCUUAUGAUUUGGGCUACACACGUGCUACAAUGGACA
Molecule: ribosomal RNA, 1144 nt
Filed under: Staphylococcus pseudintermedius
Lineage: Bacteria; Bacillati; Bacillota; Bacilli; Caryophanales; Staphylococcaceae
Description: bacterial SSU rRNA
Rfam family: Bacterial small subunit ribosomal RNA
Source: RNAcentral